Molecule: microRNA precursor, 85 nt
Filed under: Mus caroli (Ryukyu mouse)
Lineage: Eukaryota; Metazoa; Chordata; Mammalia; Rodentia; Muridae
Description: microRNA 1948 (MGP_CAROLIEiJ_G0007584.1)
Source: RNAcentral
AUUCUCACCUUACUGUAUGAGUGCUCUGCCUAAAUGUGUCUGUACACCACACUAAGGCAGAAUACUCAUACAGUAAGGUGAGAAU